This 494-nucleotide ribosomal RNA is filed under the name uncultured bacterium. RNAcentral's name for it is "bacterial SSU rRNA". It matches the Rfam family "Bacterial small subunit ribosomal RNA", at positions 27 to 507 of the family's 1533-position model. The record is from RNAcentral.
GGAUGAACGCUAGCGGCAGGCUUAACACAUGCAAGUCGAAGGGCAGCGGGGGAGUGCUUGCACUCCCGCCGGCGACUGGCGCACGGGUGAGUAACACGUAUGCAACCUACCUCUGACAGGGGGACAACCUUCCGAAAGGGAGGCUAAUCCCGCAUAUAUUCCUUGAGGGCAUCCUUGAGGGAGGAAAACUACGGUGGUUGGAGAUGGGCCUGCGUCUGAUUAGCUAGUUGGUGAGAUAACAGCCCACCAAGGCGACGAUCAGUAGCCGGUCUGAGAGGAUGAACGGCCACAUUGGGACUGAGACACGGUCCAGACUCCUACGGGAGGCAGCAGUGGGGAAUCUUCCGCAAUGGGCGAAAGCCUGACGGAGCAACGCCGCGUGAGUGAUGACGGCCUUCGGGUUGUAAAGCUCUGUGAUCGGGGACGAACGGUCAGCAGACGAAUACUCUGCUGAAGUGACGGUACCCGAAUAGCAAGCCACGGCUAACUACGUG